AAGGCUAUUUAUUACUUACUCUUUUGGUUCUCCGGUCCAUUUGACAACACUUGGUGGUCCAUAUUUGGGGCACUCAAAUUCAUAUUCCUUGGCCAAUUUUUAAUUUUUUCAUGCUGAUUUGAAGGCCAUUAAAGCAUUUGAACCAGUCUAAAAAGUUUAAGUUGUAUAUCUUUUACGGUUUUUGUGGGAAGUCGUGUUAAAGUUGAUGCCGUGGUGUUAGUAAAAUGAUACCCUUAUAAAAGCUCAGAUUUAUUUUCUGACAGAAAGCUAGAAAUAAUCCAAAAUAUCAAAAUUGUUAUACACUCAUUUUAAUGACAGUUCAUGACCUUAAAUUGCACGAGAAAUUUAUUAAACUCGGAUUCAGAGUUCCUUAUGCCUUAAAAUCCAGGUUUUACCAAUGUGGCCCAGGUUAUCACGUGUCAAAUGACUGAAAAAAAGAACACCAAUAAAAACCUGCCUCCAUUUAUAACUGACUAGAAACUUGCUUGUCGGAAGCUUUGUUCGAGGAAAUUAAAAAAAUUAUUUAUGUUUAAAUUUCUCUAAUCUCUUCACAUCACCAUUUAGCUCUAAGCUCUUUACUGUAGAAAGUAUGGAUUUUAUUUGACAAUGACGAAAACGUUGUAAGUAUUCGGUCAUCAAAAUGAGUUUAUAACAAGGUCGAUAUUUUGGUAAAUUUUUUUUUCUGUCAGAAAUUAAAUUUGGGUUUCUAUUGGGGGUAAUAGAGAUAUACUACAGUACAGUACUUACAUUCACAUUCACAUUUCACAACUACGGGAUCAGCUCACCUGGUCCAAUGAGCGGGAAACGGAGAACAAGCUCUGGAUACGUCAUAGUCACGUGACCUCAGGCUCACAAUCACGUGACCUCAGACCCAAUCAACUGACUUCUGGCCUGUCAGCUCCCUGUAAUUACAUGAUCUUGAGGUGACGUACGACACCUCGUUAACCGCAAUCAAUGUCUGGGAGGCUGCAAAUUUUCACAUGCCAAAAACGUAAGAUUCUUAAGGAGUUGUGCGAGAUGACGAUACAUAGAGGCCGCAGAAUUAUGAGGACUACCAGAUCCUCAUGGUGGAACCUAAGCGAUCCAUGAUAUCACGACAGGCCCUACAGUGAACAAUGAACAUUAUACUUUCUACACCAGCAAUACACAAUAUCCAACUCAAAAAUUACACGUCAGUGUUGAAGGGUUGGGCGAGGUCAAUCAUGAGGCAAAAUGGUGUUCGUGCAUAGCCAGGCCUUGAGGGCCGAAAGGUAAGAAGGUAUGUUUGUGUUCUCAGCUCAAGUGAGUACGCUCCUUCUUAAAUUUUAUUUAAUUUUCGUUAUUUUUUAUAAUUUGUAUUGAUACUGAGGUCGUUCUCCAUAGUUUAAUUGUUUUAUCAACAAACAUUUCUGGCCACAGUUCAUAGAGCAAUACUGUUCAUGUUUUAGAUUAUGUUAACAAUUUCUUAACCGGUGUAUCCAUAAUCUGUAUCAUCAUAUCGAUACCACCUUUCUUUCAUGCUCAUGAAAUCAAUAUAACGAUCGCAAUACAGAUAUCAAGGCGCUAUGAUGAUGAUGAUGAAGAUUGUGGUAGUAUUUCUACUCGUGGCUGGAUUUCAUGCUCAAUCACCACUGGCACUACCACCAUGUGUUGAUGCCGGCAUUCCAGGAGUGUGUAAAGUUAUGGUGGACAUUUAUAAUGGAGACUGCCUAGGAACAUACGAAGAAGAUAUGGUAAAGAAUUGCCGUAAAAGUUGCCGUCUCUGCGAUAUAGAGUAAUAGCUAAGGGUGCUCAGUCUAAUGAUGCCGUGAUCACGUGAUACUUGCUCUAACUUGCAGUAGCGCGCGACUGCAGUACGCGUAGACACAUGGCUAUGUGAUCUCGUGAUACCUGAUGGUGGAGGGUACAAGGAUCACGUGAUAUAGAGACAAUAAUUAUAGAGACAAUUAUUAGAUAGAAACAAUUAUUCAUUGUUAUCUUAAUCAAUGGGCACAAUAAGUUGAUUUCUGUAAUCAUAGCUUACAAUCUUAAAAUGUGUUUAAAACGAUUCCGUAUUAUUACACUAUACUAUUCUUCUAAACUGUAACAAUUUUCCUGUAUUUGAUGCUUUUAGCAUUUGCAUUUA
This is a long non-coding RNA of Bolinopsis microptera, 2104 nucleotides long. RefSeq lists it as uncharacterized. NCBI's taxonomy places the organism in Eukaryota, Metazoa, Ctenophora, Tentaculata, Lobata, Bolinopsidae. The record is from RefSeq and is a predicted model, not a curated record. The transcript has 2 exons.